Molecule: ribosomal RNA, 253 nt
Filed under: uncultured bacterium
Lineage: Bacteria
Description: partial 16S ribosomal RNA
Rfam family: Bacterial small subunit ribosomal RNA
Source: RNAcentral
UACGAAGGGGGCUAGCGUUGCUCGGAAUGACUGGGCGUAAAGGGCGCGUAGGCGGCUUGCACAGUCAGAUGUGAAAUUCCUGGGCUUAACCUGGGGGCUGCAUUUGAUACGUGUGGGCUUGAGUGCGGAAGAGGGUCGUGGAAUUCCCAGUGUAGAGGUGAAAUUCGUAGAUAUUGGGAAGAACACCGGUGGCGAAGGCGGCGACCUGGUCCGUGACUGACGCUGAGGCGCGAAAGCGUGGGGAGCAAACGGG